ACCUACGGGGGGCAGCAGUGAGGAAUAUUGGUCAAUGGGCGCGAGCCUGAACCAGCCAAGUCGCGUGAGGGAAGACGGUCCUAUGGAUUGUAAACCUCUUUUGUCGGGGAGCAAAAGACGCCACGUGUGGCGUUCCGAGAGUACCCGAAGAAAAAGCAUCGGCUAACUCCGUGCCAGCAGCCGCGGUAAUACGGAGGAUGCAAGCGUUAUCCGGAUUUACUGGGUGUAAAGGGAGCGUAGACGGUGCGCCAAGUCUGGAGUGAAAUGCCGCAGCUUAACUGCGGAACUGCUUUGGAAACUGGCGA
This 305-nucleotide ribosomal RNA is filed under the name uncultured bacterium. RNAcentral describes it as "bacterial SSU rRNA". It matches the Rfam family "Bacterial small subunit ribosomal RNA", at positions 337 to 639 of the family's 1533-position model. The record is from RNAcentral.